RNAcentral lists this ribosomal RNA (465 nucleotides) under Vreelandella stevensii. Its description in RNAcentral is "partial 16S ribosomal RNA". It matches the Rfam family "Bacterial small subunit ribosomal RNA", at positions 338 to 795 of the family's 1533-position model. The record is from RNAcentral. Lineage: Bacteria; Pseudomonadati; Pseudomonadota; Gammaproteobacteria; Oceanospirillales; Halomonadaceae.
CCUACGGGGGGCAGCAGUGGGGAAUAUUGGACAAUGGGGGGAACCCUGAUCCAGCCAUGCCGCGUGUGUGAAGAAGGCCCUCGGGUUGUAAAGCACUCUCAGUGAGGAAGAACGCCUGGUGGUUAAUACCCAUCAGGAAAGACAUCACUCACAGAAGAAGCACCGGCUAACUCCGUGCCAGCAGCCGCGGUAAUACGGAGGGUGCGAGCGUUAAUCGGAAUUACUGGGCGUAAAGCGCGCGUAGGUGGCUUGAUAAGCCGGUUGUGAAAGCCCCGGGCUCAACCUGGGAACGGCAUCCGGAACUGUCAAGCUAGAGUGCAGGAGAGGAAGGUAGAAUUCCCGGUGUAGCGGUGAAAUGCGUAGAGAUCGGGAGGAAUACCAGUGGCGAAGGCGGCCUUCUGGACUGACACUGACACUGAGGUGCGAAAGCGUGGGUAGCAAACAGGAUUAGAUACCCCUGUAGUC